Molecule: ribosomal RNA, 253 nt
Filed under: uncultured bacterium
Lineage: Bacteria
Description: partial 16S ribosomal RNA
Rfam family: Bacterial small subunit ribosomal RNA
Source: RNAcentral
UACGGAGGAUCCAAGCGUUAUCCGGAUUUAUUGGGUUUAAAGGGAGCGUAGGCGGAUUGAUAAGUUAGAGGUGAAAUGUCCGAGCUCAACUCGGGAACUGCCUCUAAUACUGUUGAUCUAGAGAGUAGAUGCGGUAGGCGGAAUGUAUGGUGUAGCGGUGAAAUGCUUAGAGAUCAUACAGAACACCGAUUGCGAAGGCAGCUUACCAAUCUAUAUCUGACGUUGAGGCACGAAAGCGUGGGGAGCAAACAGG